This 253-nucleotide ribosomal RNA is filed under the name uncultured bacterium. RNAcentral describes it as "partial 16S ribosomal RNA". It matches the Rfam family "Bacterial small subunit ribosomal RNA", at positions 524 to 776 of the family's 1533-position model. The record is from RNAcentral.
UACGGAGGGAGCUAGCGUUGUUCGGAAUUACUGGGCGUAAAGGGCGCGUAGGCGGCCUGUUAAGUCGGACGUGAAAUCCCCGGGCUCAACCCGGGAACUGCGUCCGAUACUGGCAGGCUUGAAUCCGGGAGAGGGAUGUGGAAUUCCAGGUGUAGCGGUGAAAUGCGUAGAUAUCUGGAGGAACACCGGUGGCGAAGGCGACAUCCUGGACCGGUAUUGACGCUGAGGCGCGAAAGCCAGGGGAGCAAACGGG